Molecule: ribosomal RNA, 425 nt
Filed under: uncultured bacterium
Lineage: Bacteria
Description: bacterial SSU rRNA
Rfam family: Bacterial small subunit ribosomal RNA
Source: RNAcentral
GUGGGGAAUAUUGGACAAUGGGCGCAAGCCUGAUCCAGCCAUGCCGCGUGAGUGAUGAAGGCCCUAGGGUUGUAAAGCUCUUUCACCGAUGAAGAUAAUGACGGUAGUCGGAGAAGAAGCCCCGGCUAACUUCGUGCCAGCAGCCGCGGUAAUACGAAGGGGGCUAGCGUUGUUCGGAAUUACUGGGCGUAAAGCGCACGUAGGCGGAUAUUUAAGUCAGGGGUGAAAUCCCAGAGCUCAACUCUGGAACUGCCUUUGAUACUGGGUAUCUCGAGUAUGGAAGAGGUGAGUGGAAUUCCGAGUGUAGAGGUGAAAUUCGUAGAUAUUCGGAGGAACACCAGUGGCGAAGGCGGCUCACUGGUCCAUUACUGACGCUGAGGUGCGAAAGCGUGGGGAGCAAACAGGAUUAGAAACCCCUGUAGUCC